Molecule: ribosomal RNA, 468 nt
Filed under: uncultured bacterium
Lineage: Bacteria
Description: partial 16S ribosomal RNA
Rfam family: Bacterial small subunit ribosomal RNA
Source: RNAcentral
GACGAACGCUGGCGGCGUGCUUAACACAUGCAAGUCGAACGGAAAGGCCCUGCUUUUGUGGGGUGCUCGAGUGGCGAACGGGGGAGUAACACGUGAGUAACCUGCCCUUGACUUUGGGAUAACUUCAGGCCACUUGGGCUAAUACCGGAUAGGAGCUCCUGCUGCAUGGUGGGGGUUGGAAAGUUUCGGCGGUUGGGGAUGGACUCGCCGCGUAUCAGCUUGUUGGUGGGGUAGUGGCUUAGCAAGGCCUUGACCGGUAGCCGGGCUGAGAGGGUCAGCGGACCCACUGGACCUGAGAUACGGCCCAGACCACUACGGGACGCAGCGGUGGAGAAUGUUGCACAAUGGGCGGAAGCCUGAUGCAGCAAAGCCGUGUGCGGGAUGAGGGCCUUCGGGUUGUAAACCGAUUUCGCCUGUGACGAAGUGUGAGUGACGGUAAUGGGUAAAGAAGCACCGGCUAACUACGUG